AGUGAAGCGGGAAAAGCUCAAAUUUAAAAUCUGGCGGUCUAUGGCUGUCCGAGUUGUAAUCUAGAGAAGUAAUGCCCGCGCUGGACUGUGUACAAGUCUCCUGGAAUGGAGCGUCAUAGAGGGUGAGAAUCCCGUCUCUGACACGGACUACCAGGGCUUUGUGGUAUGCUCUCAAAGAGUCGAGUUGUUUGGGAAUGCAGCUCUAAAUGGGUGGUAAAUUCCAUCUAAAGCUAAAUAUUGGCGAGAGACCGAUAGCGAACAAGUACCGUGAGGGAAAGAUGAAAAGAACUUUGGAAAGAGAGUUAAACAGUACGUGAAAUUGCUGAAAGGGAAACGCUUGAAGUCAGUCGCGUUAGCUAGGAAUCAGCCUUGCUUUUGCUUGGUGUACUUUCUGGUUGACGGGUCAGCAUCAAUUUUGAGUGCUGGAAAAAGGCCUUGGGAAUGUGGCAGCUUUGGCUGUGUUAUAGCCCUUGGUCACAUACAGCAGUUGGGAUUGAGGAACUCAGCACGCCGCAAGGCCGGGUUUCGACCACGUUCGUGCUUAGGAUGCUGGCAUAAUGGCUUUAAGCGACCCGUCUUGAAACACGGACCAAGGAGUCUAACAUGCCUGCGAGUGUUUGGGUGGUAAACCCUUGCGCGUAAUGAAAGUGAAAGUUGAGAUCCCUGUCGUGGGGAGCAUCGACGCCCGGACUUGAACUUUUGUGACGGAUCCGCGGUAGAGCAUGUAUGUUGGGACCCGAAAGAUGGUGAACUAUGCCUGAAUAGGGUGAAGCCAGAGGAAAC
This 783-nucleotide ribosomal RNA is filed under the name uncultured Morganella. RNAcentral's name for it is "partial 18S ribosomal RNA". It matches the Rfam family "Eukaryotic large subunit ribosomal RNA", at positions 92 to 862 of the family's 3401-position model. Lineage: Eukaryota; Fungi; Basidiomycota; Agaricomycetes; Agaricales; Lycoperdaceae. The record is from RNAcentral.